Molecule: long non-coding RNA, 1769 nt
Organism: Astatotilapia calliptera (eastern happy)
Lineage: Eukaryota; Metazoa; Chordata; Actinopteri; Cichliformes; Cichlidae
Source: Ensembl
GCUAUAACUGCCCGGAUGCGUUACCAAGAUGGCGGCUUAGUGGACUUCAGUUUUUGCAAAAUCAAAUGUAAUUGUUGUAUGAGCAUUAGUUAGUACAACGUGGAUACAAUAACAAGUUGGCAUGCCACGUUUGUGUGCUUUCUGCGGCUGUAAUAAUCGAGUGGGCUGUGGGCUUUCGUUUUUCGCAUUCCCAAAGGACAGUACAAGGAGGCGGAAAUGGCUUCUUAAUUUGAUGAGGGCAGACUUAUCCCCCGACAUGACGAGAGAAGAGUCCGACAGAGCUGGGUAUGUGGUCUGCGAACAACAUUUCAGGCCAAAGGACAUAAACUCAAAGGGUAGAAGAAAACGUCUGGCUCCUGAAGCCGUCCCCAUCCUUCUGCACACUAUAAAGGAGGAACAGAGAGAUUUGGAGAUGCCUUCUACUGAUGUUCAUGCUCCAGUGCCUCUGCAAGACACACCCCCAUAUGAACAGGUCGUGGCAAUGUUUAACAAGCUGCUGGCAGAGAAGGAUGAGAAAAUCAAGGAUCUGAAAAGCAUUCUGCAGAGAGAGAGGGCCAGAAUGCGGCUGAUGAAGUUCCGCAUGAACAGCAAAAUCAGAGAACUGAAAAGAAAACUCGAACAGCAGCAGAACAGUAGCAGUGACCAAGGCGAUCAGCUGACUGCUGCCUCCGACUGCCUUCCACAGGCAGCAAAGGAGUUUUUUGACAAGCAAAUAGCCAUGGCCAAGGUGAGGAAACACGGCCAGAGAUAUGACAAGAAACAAAAGGACAUGGCAAUCCAGCUGUACAAACAGAGCCCAAGCUGUUACUCUGAACUCCAAAAAAUGUUUCAGUUACCGUCUUCAACCACUCUGAGGAGGCACCAGGUGGUCAGUCAGGAAGCGAGUCCAAGUGAAGAGGAGGAUCGGGAGCCUUUGGGAUGGCCUGCCAGUCAGAAGGACACACCAGGUGACCCAGAGAGAGGUGAGGAGGUGAAACUUGCUGAUGUAGCUGGAUGGGUGGUGCAGAAAGUGGCUCAAGAUCCAGAAGUCAGUGCUUGUACCGAAUGUGAAAGUUUGCUUGUGGAGACCAAUGACACAGAGCACAACUAUCACACACGGAUGGAGAAGGAUGCCGUCUCAGCUGUGAAGAAAAGCCCAACCUCUGCCCGGCUGCUUCAUCCAUCCGAAGCUUUCAAAGAAUGCAUUUCGAAAUGUGACAGCGUCAUCCAAAAAAUCCCCCCAAAUGCAAUGGCCCCGAAGAAAUUAAAGGCCUACCUCAGAGCCAGCGGUGCUUUCAGUGAGCUCCACCGCAUCCAUCCUGCCCACUCAAAGGCCAUCGAGAGGGUCGCCGUGAAUAAAUAUGUGAUGUGCAGGGUGGUGGCCGAGCUGAAGGAAACAGCACAAAACAGAAAACGCACACAUGAGAAAAAAAGUGCUGCGUGUCAAGAGCUAAAUGUUAGCACCCUUGAAGUAAAUCAGGACUAAAUAAAUAUAAAAUGUUGUUAAUUUGAUAAUAAAUUAUUUUAGGCCAUUCUAACUUGUCUGUGUUGUUUCAAGCUUUCCUCCAUUUGACCUAGACGCAUUUAGUUUUUCAAUUUCAGUUCAAUUUUACAUAGUGCCGUGCCCAAAGGCACUUAUUGUAAGGUAAAGACGCUGCAAUAAUACAAAGAAACCCCCAACAAUCAGCUGUUUCAGUCUCCAUCACUGUAUUCUAGCUGUCCGGUGCGUGUACGUGGGUGUGCGAAGAAACUCUAGCCAGAGAAAACAUGAUAUAAAUGAUUUAAAUCAG